AUUGAACGCUGGCGGCAGGCCUAACACAUGCAAGUCGAGCGAGCGGCGGACGGGUGAGUAAUGUAUGGGGACUGCCCGAUAGAGGGGGAUAACCACUGGAAAAGGUGGCUAAUACCGCAUACUAUCGGAUAACCCAUAUGGGAUUAGCGAGUAGGUGGGGUAAAGGCUCACCAAGGCGCGGAUCCCUAGCUGGUCUGAGAGAAUGACCGGCCAACUGGGAACGGAGAAACGGCCAGAACUCCUAGGGAGGCGGCAGUGGGGAAUAUCGCACAAUGAGGGAAAGCCUAAUGCAGCACUGCCGCGUGGGUGAGAAAGGCCUUCGGGUUGAAAAGUCCUUUCAGCGGGGCGGCGUUACCCGAAGAGGAAGCAACGGCUAACUCCGUGCCAGCAGCCGCGGUAAUUC
This 403-nucleotide ribosomal RNA is filed under the name uncultured bacterium. RNAcentral's name for it is "partial 16S ribosomal RNA". It matches the Rfam family "Bacterial small subunit ribosomal RNA", at positions 29 to 526 of the family's 1533-position model. The record is from RNAcentral.